UAGGGAAUCUUCCACAAUGGGCGAAAGCCCGAUGGAGCAACGCCGCGUGUGUGAUGAAGGGUUUCGGCUCGUAAAACACUGUUGUAAGAGAAGAAUGACAUUGAGAGUAACUGUUCAAUGUGUGACGGUAUCUUACCAGAAAGGAACGGCUAAAUACGCGCCAG
This 164-nucleotide ribosomal RNA is filed under the name uncultured bacterium. RNAcentral describes it as "partial 16S rRNA". It matches the Rfam family "Bacterial small subunit ribosomal RNA", at positions 355 to 511 of the family's 1533-position model. The record is from RNAcentral.